Pseudophryne corroboree (corroboree frog) is the source of this 1515-nucleotide long non-coding RNA. RefSeq lists it as uncharacterized. NCBI's taxonomy places the organism in Eukaryota, Metazoa, Chordata, Amphibia, Anura, Myobatrachidae. The transcript is spliced from 4 exons. The record is from RefSeq and is a predicted model, not a curated record.
GUUUGAUUAGCCCCGCCCCCUGGACAGUCAGCAGCAGCUUUGUCCCCCAGGUCACCUGAAGUUCUGCCAAUUCAGCUGCUAAUAAACAUGCUGCAUGCAAACGGCUGGUGGUGGACGGCAGGGACAUGGAGGGCCCUGAGUUAGGGGGCCCUGGGAGAACAUAUUCCCCCCCUCCCCUUAAUCCGGAUCUGGUAGUGUGAACUUUGUGAGGUGUUCUGCAGCGGCUGUGGCCUAGGCUCUAGAGCAGCGGUGGCCAACCCGCGGCUCUCGUGCCGCAUGCGGCUCUUUCUUUAUUGAGCUGCGGCUCCUGCCUCCCGCUCCCUGAUACUGUAUGCGCGGCUCCCACUGACAUUGACAGCCUCACAGAGCCGGCCAUUGCCUACGGCAUCUGCUCUUUUGAACAAGCUGCAGUGGUUCCCUGUGUGCUACGGCACCCAGGUGUGCCGCUGAGAACUUACAGAGGUGCUGCGGCUGGUUGGUCGGGUGUCAGCAGCUGUGAAGAAGGGUCACGUGAGCUGGUAGCUGCUGGUGUGGGUAGCACUGUGUGCGCGGUGUCCCGAGAGCGGAAGUAGGAGCUUGGGGGAUUCUCUCAUGUAGCUGUUGUCUGGCGCUGCCACGGCAAGCAGCAGCGGGGUGAAGGAGAGGAAGGUCUCCCUGGGGAAGAAGCUAUUCGGGCAGGACGGAGGUUAGUCUGCACAUUAUCCCACCUCAGCAAUGAGUAGGAGGCCGCCGCCUUUACCCGGGGACAAGUCAUGCUCCGCAGCCAGCCGGCCUCCCUGCAGCUCUCAUCUCCCAGCCCCAGUGUGUUCGUCAAGUCCGGCCUCCGCAGCCACGGCAACACCUGCAUCAUUAACACCGCAGCCAGGACCGCAAGGAGGUGACUAGCCAAGAUCCUGCGCUCACUAUGGACCCUGGAGUACACUACCCAGCACAGUCGCGAGUUCAAGCACAAGCCUGGAGUUGGUCGUUGGUGGAUUUUUGUAGCAGAGCACAUUCUAGCAAGUCUCCUGUUACAAAUGGCAUCUGAACAAGGAACCUUCUGCUAGUCGUGUCACACGUGGCAGAGGACCCAACAGCCGCAAGGUAGCGGCACACAUACCAGCGAACUCCAGACCAAGCUGAACUCGUGGGCAUCAGUACCAGACCAAGGGUGUUGUGAGUAGUGGUUAAACUCAACCCCACAAGGGUCCAGCUGAUGUCUGAGCGUGCUGAUUGGAGCUUGGGUGUUUAAAAAAGCUACUUCCUGCAACUAUUGACAUCCUGAUUUAUACCUUGAAAAAGACCCCAGUAGUGGUGGAAACGCGUCGGUGUGGCCCCUGCAGCUGAGAGACAGCAAUAAAACUGGUCACAAGAGAUCCUGCAGGUUUUGCGGUGGUACAAUCCGGAAGUUCCACUUGGAAAAAGUCAUGCUGUUUAUGAACUGUUUGGCCACAGUUCUUAUUAUCCGGUAAUUGCAUGUUACAUAUGCUAGAAGGAGACCUACUGUAUGUUUUUAUGCGAUGUCAAGGAUGCUCA